Molecule: non-coding RNA, 953 nt
Organism: Paramuricea clavata
Lineage: Eukaryota; Metazoa; Cnidaria; Anthozoa; Malacalcyonacea; Plexauridae
Source: the annotation of a GenBank genome assembly
UAAACCUCUUUAAAGAUCUAAUUGAACAAGGGGUGGUGGAUCUCAUCAGAAUUAGACAUGGGAAUGUGUUUGGUUUUGCUUUUCCGACCUUAUUCAACAGGUUUUAAAUUAUGUGAAAGAACAAUGGAAUACUCAUUACAUUCGGGGAUCUCGUUAUGAAACAAUCAAAGGUCGACCAGACUCCUUGUAUUAUUUACCCGAGCUAAGUGGUGGUGGCACCCAUUUUUUAUUGUCCGUCCCUGAAGAUGAAAUUAUUUAUGCGCGAUCGCACAUUGUGGAAAUCCAAGAAGAAAAUAUAUACCAAAAAUAUUUCAACUAUGUUGUACAAUCUUGCAAUCUUGACAAACCGAGUGAUUGGAGGGAAGCACUGGAGCUUUAUAAUACUCUCCUGCAACAUGCCAACUGAAUUUGGUCUUUUUACUCCUUUGUCAGAGACAUAUUACAACAUAAGCAACUACGCUAACUUUAACAAGUAUAUGUAUAUAAAAGGUUCAUGUAAAUAAACUACACUACUAGGUUUCAAAUAGAAUGUCUCUUAUAGUCUUUUGGAAGAACUAACAAUACUCUACUAUAUGUAUACCAACUGUACGGUGCUACCUUUGUUCCAGCUGUUCUUCGCAAAAUGAAAGUUCAUGAUAAACAGUUAAACGCAUAAACUUUGGUCACUUUGCCGUUAUGUUUACAUAUUGUAUUAAAAUUAGAUCUAUUCUCCAAUUUAGGAUUAAUGUUCUUUUAGGUGAUAAAAACAUGUAAAGGUGUAAACAUGCAAACAAAUUGCGAACCUUUAGUCUACAAUCUUUUGGAAAUAAGGAUGCAUAUCACAUGGAUACCUGUUAAGAGGGGUUAAGAUUGCCACUAUCUUCAAGUCGUAUGUUGAGAUCAACUGUAAGCUGUUUGAAGUUAGGACAAUUUGUGCAUUUAAAUUGAAGAAUAAAUUGACUAAAAACCUGUCG